This 258-nucleotide long non-coding RNA is filed under the name Vigna radiata. RNAcentral describes it as "long non-coding RNA (VRAD_LNC004504)". The record is from RNAcentral. Lineage: Eukaryota; Viridiplantae; Streptophyta; Magnoliopsida; Fabales; Fabaceae.
GUUGGGGUGUUGCUCCCUCCACCACCACCCUUUGCUCCCUCCACCUCCCCAUUCCCGUUUUACCCCCUCCCUCCACCUUCCUAUUCUUGUUUUAUCCCCUACAUGAAUGGGAUGAUCCAGUUUAUGCUUAACCAACAAACAUUUGUUAUUGACAGUUAUGUUGUUUCUUUCUCUCUUAGAUCUCAUCACCCAAACAACACAACCAUUUUAAUGGUGAACCCAUGUUUCUAUGUAUCAUUUUCUUCUGCCUCUCUCUCU